AUGGCAGACUCAGGAAACAAGGAACCCGCAAAGUCAAGCCAGGUGGCUGUAGUGGGAGUCAUAGAUUAAGCGUCGCACUGAGUGGAGACUGACAGCACAGCAGAGUGGUCAGACAGCAGAGUGCCCUAGGCUGCGCAAAGAAUGACUGACGCUUAAAAGUGACUAAGGACUUUAUUGAGAGCCUGCCUAGCUUGGUGAAAUGCCAAGUCCUUGCCCUCAAAAAGCUGUAGAAGAAUCCCAUGAAAUUGAAGCCAAAUGUGAUGAGACAUUUCAGCCUCUAGAAAAAAAAAAAAAAAAAGUAUGACACCUAUAAGCCUUUACUUGCCAAGAUACGUGAACUCAGUGGCGAAAUAGAGGGGAUAUGCAUGAACCAUAGAGGCUCAGGGCCCUGAGGACCAAGAGGUACCGGGGGAGAAGGAGGGGCAGGAAGAAGGGGAUGAGGAAAAAGUGGAAGUGGAGUGACACGGUGAGAAUUUCCCACUCUGAGAUGUCUGAUGACACCAAAAAAUAA
This 511-nucleotide long non-coding RNA is filed under the name Homo sapiens (human). RNAcentral's name for it is "non-protein coding lnc-ECT2-2:1". The record is from RNAcentral. Lineage: Eukaryota; Metazoa; Chordata; Mammalia; Primates; Hominidae.